GCACGUUGCUAAUAAAAUACCUCCUGUCUAUCUGACUUAAACUGCGUCUCUUAGACAGUUAUUCAUCGCCUUUUGGGGCAAAAUUCGGCAUCAGUUCUGGCGACCCAGGUGGGACGAAACAGGAGACUCAGACUUUGAGGGGUUCCCUCCGAAGAGCCGGUCCGGGGCCGGGACCCUCUGGGGCCCCUGACGGAUUUUUGUCAGAAGAGACUCCCCUCCCGGACCUGCGCUCUUCGGCAGAGGAAGGAUUCCCUGCAUCUCCUGCUCCAAUUAAGAGAUUGAAACGCGCAUUGUGCUGUCUACGUGCCUUGAAUUUGGGAAGCCGGUACUUCACAGUUUGAGGGCGACUUUUUUUGUGACAAAACCUGAAUCUUUUAGGAAAACCCCUACAAGAGAAGUGGGAAGGACCUUUCCAAGUGCUGCUGACUACCUUCACCGCGGUCCGGAUCAAG
This is a long non-coding RNA of Poecile atricapillus (Black-capped chickadee), 452 nucleotides long. RefSeq lists it as uncharacterized. The record is from RefSeq and is a predicted model, not a curated record. The transcript has 3 exons. NCBI's taxonomy places the organism in Eukaryota, Metazoa, Chordata, Aves, Passeriformes, Paridae.